UGCCAGCAGCCGCGGUAAUACGGAGGGUGCUAGCGUUGGUCGGAAUUAUUGGGCGUAAAGAGCGCGUAGGCGGCCAAUCAAGUUAGAAGUGAAAACCCGGGGCUUAACCCCGGAACUGCUUUUAAAACUGGUUGGCUAGAAUUAGGUAGAGGAUAGUGGAAUUCCCAAUGUAGAGGUGAAAUUUGUAGAUAUUGGGAGGAACACCAGAAGCGAAGGCGACUAUCUGGGCCUUAAUUGACGCUGAGGCGCGAAAGUGUGGGUAGCAAACAGGAUUAGAUA
Molecule: ribosomal RNA, 279 nt
Filed under: uncultured bacterium
Lineage: Bacteria
Description: partial 16S ribosomal RNA
Rfam family: Bacterial small subunit ribosomal RNA
Source: RNAcentral